RNAcentral lists this ribosomal RNA (857 nucleotides) under uncultured bacterium. RNAcentral's name for it is "SSU rRNA". It matches the Rfam family "Bacterial small subunit ribosomal RNA", at positions 524 to 1381 of the family's 1533-position model. The record is from RNAcentral.
UCCGGGAGUGGCAAGCGUUAUCCGGAAUUAUUGGGCGUAAAGCGUCCGCAGGCGGUUUUGUAAGUCUGUUGUUAAAGCGUGGAGCUUAACUCCAUUUGAGCAAUGGAAACUGCAAGACUAGAGUGUGGUAGGGGCAGAGGGAAUUCCCGGUGUAGCGGUGAAAUGCGUAGAUAUCGGGAAGAACACCAGUGGCGAAGGCGCUCUGCUGGGCCAUAACUGACGCUCAUGGACGAAAGCCAGGGGAGCGAAAGGGAUUAGAUACCCCUGUAGUCCUGGCCGUAAACGAUGAACACUAGGUGUCGGGGGAAUCGACCCCCUCGGUGUCGUAGCCAACGCGUUAAGUGUUCCGCCUGGGGAGUACGCACGCAAGUGUGAAACUCAAAGGAAUUGACGGGGGCCCGCACAAGCGGUGGAGUAUGUGGUUUAAUUCGAUGCAACGCGAAGAACCUUACCAGGGUUUGACAUCCUGCGAAUCUUUUGGAAACAGAAGAGUGCCUUCGGGAACGCAGUGACAGGUGGUGCAUGGCUGUCGUCAGCUCGUGUCGUGAGAUGUUGGGUUAAGUCCCGCAACGAGCGCAACCCACGUCGUUAGUUGCCAGCAUUGAGUUGGGCACUCUAGCGAGACCGCCGGUGAUAAACCGGAGGAAGGUGUGGAUGACGUCAAGUCAUCAUGCCCCUUACAUCCUGGGCUACACACGUACUACAAUGCUACGGACAAAGGGCAGCAAACUCGCGAGAGCUAGCAAAUCCCAUAGACCGUGGCUCAGUUCAGAUCGUAGGCUGCAACUCGCCUACGUGAAGGAGGAAUCGCUAGUAAUCGCAGGUCAGCAUACUGCGGUGAAUACGUUCCCGGGCCU